Molecule: ribosomal RNA, 451 nt
Filed under: uncultured bacterium
Lineage: Bacteria
Description: bacterial SSU rRNA
Rfam family: Bacterial small subunit ribosomal RNA
Source: RNAcentral
GUGGGGAAUAUUGGACAAUGGGGGGAACCCUGAUCCAGCCAUGUCGCGUGUGUGAAGAAGGCCUUUUGGUUGUAAAGCACUUUAAGCGAGGAGGAGGCUACCGAGAUUAAUACUCUUGGAUAGUGGACGUUACUCGCAGAAUAAGCACCGGCUAACUCUGUGCCAGCAGCCGCGGUAAUACAGAGGGUGCAAGCGUUAAUCGGAUUUACUGGGCGUAAAGCGCGCGUAGGUGGCCAAUUAAGUCAAAUGUGAAAUCCCCGAGCUUAACUUGGGAAUUGCAUUCGAUACUGGUUGGCUAGAGUAUGGGAGAGGAUGGUAGAAUUCCAGGUGUAGCGGUGAAAUGCGUAGAGAUCUGGAGGAAUACCGAUGGCGAAGGCAGCCAUCUGGCCUAAUACUGACACUGAGGUGCGAAAGCAUGGGGAGCAAACAGGAUUAGAAACCCCGGUAGUCC